GAGACAGGUGGUGCAUGGUUGUCGUCAGCUCGUGUCGUGAGAUGUUGGGUUAAGUCCCGCAACGAGCGCAACCUUGUGUUUAGUUGCAAAACAGGUCAAGCUGUGCACUCUAGACAGACUGCCGUGGACAACACGGAGGAAGGUGGGGAUGACGUCAAAUCAUCAUGCCCCUUAUGAUCUGGGCUACACACGUGCUACAAUGGCCGGUACAACGGGCAGCGAAGGAGCGAUCCGGAGCGAAUCCUAAAAAGCCGGUCCCAGUUCGGAUUGCAGGCUGAAACUCGCCUACAUGAAGUUGGAGUUGCUAGUAAUCGCGAAUCAGAAUGUCGCGGUGAAUGCGUUCCCGGGUCUU
Molecule: ribosomal RNA, 352 nt
Filed under: uncultured Fusibacter sp.
Lineage: Bacteria; Bacillati; Bacillota; Clostridia; Eubacteriales; Fusibacteraceae
Description: bacterial SSU rRNA
Rfam family: Bacterial small subunit ribosomal RNA
Source: RNAcentral